RNAcentral lists this ribosomal RNA (939 nucleotides) under Triticum aestivum (bread wheat). RNAcentral describes it as "partial small subunit ribosomal RNA". Lineage: Eukaryota; Viridiplantae; Streptophyta; Magnoliopsida; Poales; Poaceae. The record is from RNAcentral.
AUGGCGCCGGCCGACGGCAAGGACGCGCCCCCUCCUCCCCGCCCCCCGCCUCCCCCCGCCGGGCCGGCCCUCCCCGGCGGCGCGGAGGAGUACGUGCGCGACUCCAUCGAGGCCUCCCUCGGCCUCCCCGUGCCCGACCGCUCGCUCCGAGCCAAGCUCGCCGCCUCCGAGGACCUGCGCCGCCGCCUCCAGGACCGCGUCUUCGCGCUCGAGGAGGAACUCCACGCCGCCGCCCGCCGCAUCGACCUCCUCAAGGUCCGUCCGCCUCUUCCCCCUUUCCCCGUCCGUUCCGUUCCGUUCCGCAUCGGCGGUUACCUGGCUGCUCGCUCGCUGGCUGUUCGACGGAAUGCCUGCCUGACGGAUCGAGACGGCCCCGUGCGGUGCGUGCAGAACGAGUCGGCGAUGAACGCGGAGGGGAUCCGGCGGUGCGUGGAGGAGAAGGAGGCCGUGGCGGCCGCGCGCGACCAGCUCGCCGCCCACGCCGCCAGGCUCGAGAAGGAGUGCGGCCUCUACGAGCGCGACCUGGAGCGCGCCAUGGAGUCCUGCGACGAGCUCGCCAGGGAGAGCGACGACCUGCGCAACCGCCUCAGGGACGCCCCCGACCUUACUGAACAAGUGCAAGCGCUGCAGAGGGACAAGGAGAUACUCAAGACCAACCUAAACAAAGCAGAGGAGGAGGUUAAGUUGCUAUUCGAGGAGAACAGAGCCCUCGACGAAGCCAACAAGAGGCUGCUGUGCUUGCUGGAGAAGGAGCAGAAGCAUCGGUCCGAAAGAAAGCACUCGGCCAGUAAUUCCACCAAGCAGAAACGCAAGUCGUCGAGCCUCAAGGACACGAGCCCGGUCGGCCUGGCCAUCGAUUUCAACAGUGCGGACGCGUCGAGGCAGCCCCUGUUGCCCUUGCAGCCAAACUCUCCGGACUGCAGGGUCCAUAAGAAGUGA